Molecule: long non-coding RNA, 930 nt
Filed under: Equus caballus (horse)
Lineage: Eukaryota; Metazoa; Chordata; Mammalia; Perissodactyla; Equidae
Description: lncRNA (ENSECAG00000059894.1)
Source: RNAcentral
CUGGAGGACAGGAGCCAGGCCCAGGCGGGGCACACCACAUGCUACAUCUUCAUGUCUGCCUCCAACCCUGACCACGAACAAGCACAGAGCGCUGACCCUGCCCACGACCCACUCAGUCACAACCACUGCGCUGCCCACCGUGGAGCACAGCCAGGUGGGCCCAGUCCCUCCUGUGGGCACACCUAAGGACUAUCCCUCUCUUUUUCCUUUCUUGUCUUGCUCAGCCACAGCCUCCGGCUUCAGGGAGGACCUGGGCUCCUGGCAGGCCCAGAGGAGGGGUCUGAAUUGACAGGGCACUGCCCAGACUUGCCCCCAAACGUGCCCUCUCAAUGGAGCCUCCAAGUAUCAGCGGGAGCACAGCCAGCCAGGGUCAAGACUACGCUUCCCAGCUCCUCACAGUGAGAGAUGGCUACACCAUUCAACUCUGGCCAAGAAUGCAAGAGAAGAUGACACUUGCAGCUUUGGGAGACAUCCUAAAAGGGAAGCAGUGGGCCCUUCUUACCUAAUGGCUAGAAUGGGGAUGUGAUGGCUGGAGGUCAAGCAGCCUUAUUGCACCAUGAAGUAGAAGCCUUGUGUCGAGGAUGGGAGAGCAAUAAGGUAGGUCUCUGAUGACUAUGGAACCACCCUACCAGCUUUCGGCCUCCUACCCCAAGACUUUAUCCAUGUAAGAGAGAAAUACACAUGUACUUUGUUUAAGCUGCUGCUGCUUGGAGUUUCUGUCUCUCUCAACGACACCUAAUCCUAAUAAUGAUGGACACGUGACAUGGCCACUAAAGAUGGCGUUCCUGCAAAGGAAACACAGCUGGAGCCCAGUGACAACCUCCAUUCCACCACCUGCUGGGGACGUGCUGCUUGAAGACUGGCCGCCUGCGGCUCCUGGCUUCAUACGUGCAGACCUGCUGCCGUGCAGAGUGGGAGCGAGGGCCUUCC